GAUGAACGCUGGCGGCGUGCCUAAUACAUGCAAGUCGAGCGAACGGACGAGAAGCUUGCUUCUCUGAUGUUAGCGGCGGACGGGUGAGUAACACGUGGAUAACCUACCUAUAAGACUGGGAUAACUUCGGGAAACCGGAGCUAAUACCGGAUAAUAUAUUGAACCGCAUGGUUCAAAAGUGAAAGACGGUUUUGCUGUCACUUAUAGAUGGAUCCGCGCUGCAUUAGCUAGUUGGUAAGGUAACGGCUUACCAAGGCAACGAUGCAUAGCCGACCUGAGAGGGUGAUCGGCCACACUGGAACUGAGACACGGUCCAGACUCCUACGGGAGGCAGCAGUAGGGAAUCUUCCGCAAUGGGCGAAAGCCUGACGGAGCAACGCCGCGUGAGUGAUGAAGGUCUUCGGAUCGUAAAACUCUGUUAUUAGGGAAGAACAUAUGUGUAAGUAACUGUGCACGUCUUGACGGUACCUAAUCAGAAAGCCACGGCUAACUACGUG
This 497-nucleotide ribosomal RNA is filed under the name uncultured bacterium. RNAcentral describes it as "partial 16S ribosomal RNA". It matches the Rfam family "Bacterial small subunit ribosomal RNA", at positions 28 to 507 of the family's 1533-position model. The record is from RNAcentral.